UAGAUACCCUGGUAGUCCACGCCGUAAACGUUUGAUCACUCGUUGUUGGCAAUACACCGUCAGCGACCUAGCUAAUGCGCUAAGUGAUCCACCUGGGGAGUACGAUCGCAAGGUUGAAACUCAAAGGAAUUGACGGGGGCCCGCACAAGCGGAGGAGCAUGUGGUUUAAUUCGAUGAUACGCGAGGAACCUUACCUGGGCUUAAAUGUAGUGUGCAUUCCCGUGAAAACGGGAUUUCCUUCGGGACCCACUACAAGGUGCUGCAUGGUUGUCGUCGGCUCGUGCCGUGAGGUGUCGGGUUAAGUCCCAUAACGAGCGCAACCCCUAUCUUUAGUUGCUAACAGGUCAUGCUGAGGACUCUAAAGAAACUGCCCGCGCAAGCGGUGAGGAAGGUGGGGAUGACGUCAAAUCAGCACGGCCCUUAUGUCCAGGGCUACACACGUGCUACAAUGGCAGGUACGGUGGGCAGCUAUCACGCAAGUGAAUGCUAAUCUCUAAAACCUGUCUCAGUCCGGAUUGGAGUCUGCAACCCGACUCCAUGAAGCUGGAUUCGCUAGUAAUCGCACAUCAGCCAUGGUGCGGUGAAUACGUUCCCGGGCAUUGUACACACCGCCCGUCAAGCCAUGGAAGC
Molecule: ribosomal RNA, 630 nt
Filed under: uncultured organism
Description: bacterial SSU rRNA
Rfam family: Bacterial small subunit ribosomal RNA
Source: RNAcentral